This is a long non-coding RNA of Panicum virgatum (switchgrass), 2361 nucleotides long. RefSeq lists it as uncharacterized. The record is from RefSeq and is a predicted model, not a curated record. The transcript is spliced from 4 exons. Lineage: Eukaryota; Viridiplantae; Streptophyta; Magnoliopsida; Poales; Poaceae.
UGCAUUGAUCGCGGGAUUGGGGUCGUUGACUUCAUCCUGCGCCACCACAAUUCCUUCCUGUUAAUCACGGGAUUGGGGUCAUCGCCACCUCCUCCGCCUUCAUCCUGCGGCGACAGCGGCUCGCGGUGCGGGCGCGGGUGCUGGCAGCGUAGGGAGACGGCGAGCGCGGCGGGCGCUUGUGCACCCCGAGUGCCGUCCUCCGCCGCGCCCUGCCUCCGCGGGGAGGAGGUUCUCAACCGCGACCGCACCGCCCGCGACCGCAACAAGGCCGACCUCCGCUGCCGCUGGCCACGGCCCUCGAUGAAAAUGUAAGCUCCCCCAUCGCCGUUAGUUCGACCUGCCUCAUCGCAUCCUUACCCCUACAGUCCCCACUACCUAUCUGCCAUUGCCUUCCUAGCUCCUCUCCUCUCUUCCCCAUCUCGCCUCACACCAUUAAACUCGACCCGGGUGCGGCGGCCGGCGGCGAGCCCCACCCACCCACGCUCGCGGAGGAGCGAGCGGGCGUGCAGCAGCACUAGGGGCAGGCAUGGGACCCUCGUGCGCACGAUCUUCACGGUUGGCAAGUGGAUCCGCAGCACAGGGCAGGCCAUGGAUCACCUCGGAUCUGCAUCCAGGGCGGCCUUCACGUCGAGGAGCAGCGUAAGUAUCCGCCUCCUUGCUCCAGCCUGGGAUGGGAUCGGGUCUUCAUCUAAUUAUUUAAUUUCAAUGUCGUGCGGAGCUAGCUGUAUUCAGCUCAUCGUGUUCAUCUAUUAGGAACUGUUAAUGUCAUGUCAGGCUGAUUCAGUGGUGUCCGCAAUCAUCAGUAUGCUCGCUGUUGGGGUUGUUCCCAAGAGGGGGAAGAAUAAAACCGAAAUAGUGUUCCUAAAGAUUGGGUUAGCUGUGGAUGAUGGUAAUGUGAUUUGAACAAACCUGAGAUGAGCUUGGCCUUUCGACUGGACUACUAAUAUCCCUCUUUAUGUGUACCGUUUGCUUCCAUUGUCGUCACUUAUGUGAACUUUGCAUUGCAGUUUGUAUUUUUUUUUCAUGAAAGUAAUGGUAAUUUGGUAAAUCAUGUAUGACAAGGAUUGGUUGCCACAAUCCUACUGUCUUCUGUUAAUAUGUCGUGCUGGCAUUUUCUGUUUGAAGUGAUUCUGUAUAUAGUUUCUCUUCCAUAGCAUCAUAAUAAUGUCAUUUCUUCAUGGUGUCACUAUGCUGCAACUGGGAAAUCACCAGGCUUCUGCGUGAUUUGUACACAAUGAUGAGGAAUAUGGGUUUCUGUUUUUAGGGCUGUGCAGUUUCUUAGCUUAUUACUCUCAAAGGCUUGCUAACUGCUUGCUGAUUUGGAUAAUUGGUUCCUUACUUUUGGUCUUCUCAUGUGCAACACUAAUAAAGAUGUUAUCUUUAUAUACAUGACUUGCAUAAAACCGCCUCAGAACAUUUAUACAUAGCAAAGCACCAACAGUAUCUUUGGUAAAUUUAUCUUGCGCACAGAAAUAUUUGGUAAAUUACUUGAGGUUCUCAAGAACUGGCAUGAGAGGACCACUCGGUUUAUUGUCGAUACUGAGGUGAACAGAUUAUGGGGCUUGGAGUUCUUGAUGUCAGGGGUUGGGGAUCCCUAUUUGUGAGUUUGCCCUUUACACUGCCUUGGGAGGAGUUCAUCCAUCAGCUAGUAUAGGACUGUCUCUGGUGUGGCAGGGCCCUGGUUAUUUUGGACAAAGUAAAUGUAUGCUUUGUUUUAGUUUUGAACAGCAUACAGUUGGUAAUGCUGGCUCCAAUUAAUCAGUGCCCUACUCGUGGCUCCAAUUAAUCAUGGCUCCAAUUAAUCAUGGAGGAACCUGAUCACACUCGUGUACUCGUGAACAGCAUACAGUUGGUGUUUUCAUAUGUUCCAAGAAGCACAUUUUCACUACUUCCUCCCUUCUGUUAUGAGUAAGACUUAUGAAUGCACCUUUUGUUUUAUAGGUCUUGAAAACUCCUAUCUCACUUGAUAUGCUUGGACCCAUCAUUAAUGGUUCUGGGAAACCUAUCGAUAAUGGUCCUCCAAUAUUGCAUGGGGCUUACUUUUAUAUUUCUGGAAGUUGAAUCAACCCCAGCGAGAGAAACUAUCCAGAAGAGAUGAUUCAAACAGGAAUAUCCACCACUGAUGUGAUGAACUCAAUUGCCCGAGGGCAAAAAAUUCCUCUCUUCUCUGCUGAUGGGCUUCCACACAAUGAGAUUGCUGCUCAGAUAUGUCGUCAAGCUGGUCUUGUCAAUUAGUUUUAUUUUUUGGAAGAUGUGUCACUUCUAAAAAUGUUCUAAGUUAUUGUUCCAUUGCUUUUGAAAUAUUGGUUAACCUUUACCCUUGAAAGAAAUGGCUGGCCUCUAUUUGGUUAUUGACUGUUA